This 403-nucleotide ribosomal RNA is filed under the name uncultured bacterium. RNAcentral describes it as "partial 16S ribosomal RNA". It matches the Rfam family "Bacterial small subunit ribosomal RNA", at positions 28 to 526 of the family's 1533-position model. The record is from RNAcentral.
GACGAACGCUGGCGGCGUGCCUAAUACAUGCAAGUCGAACGCAGUGGGGACGGGUGAGUAACACGUGGGUAACCUCCCAUCAGAGGGGAUAACACUUGGAAACAGGUGCUAAACCGAUACUGAUGGAUGGACCCGCGGUGCAUUAGCUAGUUGUGGAGGUAACGGCUCACCAAGGCCACGAUGCAUAGCAGACCUGGAGGGGGUAGCGGCCACACGGGGACUGGGCCACGGCACAGGAUCCUACGGGAGGCAGCAGUAGGGAAUCUUCGGCAAAGGACGAAAGUCUGACCGAGCACAGCCGCGUGAGUGAAGAAGGUGUUCGGAUCGUAAAACACUGUUGUUAGAGAAGCGGUAUCUAACCAGAAAGCCACGGCUAACUACGUGCCAGCAGCCGCGGUAAUUC